RNAcentral lists this transfer RNA (88 nucleotides) under Methanobacteriota archaeon. RNAcentral's name for it is "Euryarchaeota archaeon tRNA-Ser". It matches the Rfam family "tRNA". Rfam says of the family: Transfer RNA (tRNA) molecules are approximately 80 nucleotides in length. Their secondary structure includes four short double-helical elements and three loops (D, anti-codon, and T loops). Lineage: Archaea; Methanobacteriati; Methanobacteriota. The record is from RNAcentral. RNAcentral also lists the same sequence under 1 other name.
GCGGCGAUCGCAUAGCCUGGCCAUUGCGUCGGAUUGCUAAUCCGAUGGGUCUUUUCCCACGGGGGUUCGAAUCCCUCUCGCCGCGCCA